RNAcentral lists this transfer RNA (72 nucleotides) under Ovis aries (sheep). It matches the Rfam family "tRNA". From Rfam's summary of the family: Transfer RNA (tRNA) molecules are approximately 80 nucleotides in length. The record is from Rfam by way of RNAcentral. Lineage: Eukaryota; Metazoa; Chordata; Mammalia; Artiodactyla; Bovidae.
UCCCUGGUGGCUCAGAUGGUAAAGCGUCUGCCUACAAUGUGGAAGACCUGGGUUCAAUCCCUGGGCUGGGAA